This 439-nucleotide ribosomal RNA is filed under the name uncultured bacterium. Its description in RNAcentral is "bacterial SSU rRNA". It matches the Rfam family "Bacterial small subunit ribosomal RNA", at positions 29 to 511 of the family's 1533-position model. The record is from RNAcentral.
AACGAACGCUGGCGGCAUGCCUAACACAUGCAAGUCGAACGAGACCUUCGGGUCUAGUGGCGCACGGGUGCGUAACGCGUGGGAACCUGCCUUUAGGUUCGGAAUAACUCAGAGAAAUUUGAGCUAAUACCGGAUAAUGUCUUCGGACCAAAGAUUUAUCGCCUUUAGAUGGGCCCGCGUAAGAUUAGCUAGUUGGUGGGGUAAAGGCCUACCAAGGCGACGAUCUUUAGCUGGUCUGAGAGGAUGAUCAGCCACACUGGGACUGAGACACGGCCCAGACUCCUACGGGAGGCAGCAGUGGGGAAUUUUACGCAAUGGGGGAAACCCUGACGUAGCGACACCGCGUGAGCGAAGAAGCCCUUUGGGGUGUAAAGCUCUGUCAACAGGAACGAAAAAAUAGACGGUACCUGUGGAGGAGCAUCGGCUAACUACGUGCCAG